CACUUAUUUGGCGCUCGCGGAGGAGGAAGGCGGGGCCGUGAAAUAAGGCCCAAUGGGCCCCCGGGGCGCGUGCGCGGACGAACACUAUCCGCUCCUAACGCCGCAGUUUCCUCGUGAUCCCCAAGGUCCGGGUCGGGCGUUGCGUGCCCCGCGCGGGCGGCCGGGCAGAGGGACGAUGGUCAGUGGACGGACGGCGCCAGGGAGCAGUGCCCACGCGCGGCAGGGCGGCACCUUCAGGCCUCCAGAGGCUGGAGCUGGCUCUGUUGGUCUCUGCUGGGUUUCUUCCUCUGCACCGCAGGGCUGGCUCUCCUGACCUCUCCAGGUGUAAUCGAACACCCUUGCGCUUGCUGUCACCCGCUGCCUGUCUGCAGGAUCCCGGAUUCCCUAUCAGGGGACCGAAAUUAGUCGGAAAAUAAGAAACAGGUCGGAAGCCCAGCCCAGCCUCACUCAGCCAAAAUCAGGGUGUCUGCAGGGCCGAUUGCUUUUGGAGCUCCAGGGGAGAAGCUGUUCCUGCCUUUCCAGUUUCUAGAAGCACUUGAGCCCCUUGUCUCAUGGCCUAUCCCACACCUGAAAGCCAGCCAAAGCCAGUUGAGUCCUCACCCUGCUGGCCCCGACACUGACUCUCCUGCAUCCCUCAUCUGCUGUCAAGGCCCCUUGUGAUGACAUGGGGCCACCAGCUCGCCCAGGGCACCUCCUGUCAUUCCAUCUGCCGCUGUAAUUCCCCUUUGCUUGGAACCAACGUUCACAGAUCCCUGGGUAGAGACGGGGUUUCACCAUGGUCUCGAUCUCCUGACCUCAUGAUCCGCCCGCCUCGGCCUCCCAAAGUGCUGGGAUUACAAGCGUGAGCCACCGCGCCCGGCACCAUGUUUCAAGGACACUCAGGCAGCCCCUGGAUCGUCCAUGUGGGGAGGAAUGAAGGCCUCCUGCCUGCAGCCUCGGGAGGGAGCCUUCUCAGAAGAGGAUGCCCCACCCCCUGCCCAGCCUUCAGAUGGCCAGGACAUCGUCCAACGUCCUGACUGCAACAUCAUGACAGACCCCGAGCCAGAAACCCCCAGCUUUUGUACUCCUGACUUACGGGAACUGACAGAUAAUGUUCGUUGUUAAUUAAGGGGUGACUUGUCACACACAAUAGGUCACUAAACAGCUCUGUCUGGCCUCCCAGGAGGA
Molecule: long non-coding RNA, 1167 nt
Organism: Symphalangus syndactylus (siamang)
Lineage: Eukaryota; Metazoa; Chordata; Mammalia; Primates; Hylobatidae
Source: RefSeq, a predicted model, not a curated record